GUUAGGAAUAUUGGACAAUGGGCGCAAGCCUGAUCCAGCCAUGCCGCGUGAGUGAUGAAGGCCUUCGGGUUGUAAAGCUCUUUAGCCGAUGAUUAUAAUGACUGUAGUCGGAAAAUAAGCCCCGGCUAACUUCGUGCCAGCAGCCGCGGUAAUACGAAGGGGGCGAGCGUUAUUCGGAAUCACUGGGCGUAAAGCGUGCGUAGGCGGCUUUGCAAGUUGGGAGUGAAAGCCCAGGGCUCAACCCUGGAAUUGCUCUCAAAACUGCAAGGAUCGAAUUCGGGAGAGGAUAGCGGAAUUGUCAGUGUAGCAGUGAAAUGCGUAGAUAUUGACAGGAACACCAGUGGCGUAAGCGGCUAUCUGGACCGAUAUUGACGCUGAGGCACGAAAGCGUGGGGAUCAAACAGGAUUAGAUACCCGAGUAGUCC
RNAcentral lists this ribosomal RNA (425 nucleotides) under uncultured bacterium. Its description in RNAcentral is "partial 16S ribosomal RNA". It matches the Rfam family "Bacterial small subunit ribosomal RNA", at positions 354 to 796 of the family's 1533-position model. The record is from RNAcentral.